Molecule: ribosomal RNA, 484 nt
Filed under: uncultured bacterium
Lineage: Bacteria
Description: partial 16S ribosomal RNA
Rfam family: Bacterial small subunit ribosomal RNA
Source: RNAcentral
AUUGAACGCUGGCGGCAGGCCUAACACAUGCAAGUCGAGCGGAUGAAGGGAGCUUGCUCCUGGAUUCAGCGGCGGACGGGUGAGUAAUGCCUAGGAAUCUGCCUGGUAGUGGGGGAUAACGUCCGGAAACGGGUGCUAAUACCGCAUACGUCCUGAGGGAGAAAGUGGGGGAUCUUCGGACCUCACGCUAUCAGAUGAGCCUAGGUCGGAUUAGCUAGUUGGUGGGGUAAAGGCCUACCAAGGCGACGAUCCGUAACUGGGCUGAGAGGAUGAUCAGUCACACUGGAACUGAGACACGGUCCAGACUCCUACGGGAGGCCGCAGUGGGGAAUCUUGGACAAUGGGCGAAAGCCUGAUCCAGCCAUGCCGCGUGUGUGAAGAAGGUCUUCGGAUUGUAAAGCACUUUAAGUUGGGAGGAAGGGCAGUAAGUUAAUACCUUGCUGUUUUGACGUUACCAACAGAAUAAGCACCGGCUAACUUCGUG